CGUAAAACGGGACGGCCCGCCAGAGGACCCAAACUCUAAUGUUUCUUAUUGUAACUUCUGAGUAAAACAAACAAAUAAAUCAAAACUUUCAACAACGGAUCUCUUGGUUCUGGCAUCGAUGAAGAACGCAGCAAAAUGCGAUAAGUAAUGUGAAUUGCAGAAUUCAGUGAAUCAUCGAAUCUUUGAACGCACAUUGCGCCCGCUGGUAUUCCGGCGGGCAUGCCUGUUCGAGCGUCAUUUCAACCCUCAAGCCCCCGGGUUUGGUGUUGGGGAUCGGCUCUGCCUCACGGCGGUGCCGCCCCCGAAAUACAUUGGCGGUCUCGCUGCAGCCUCCAUUGCGUAGUAGCUAACACCUCGCAACUGGAACGCGGCGCGGCCAUGCCGUAAAACCCCAACUUCUGAAUGUUGACCUCGGAUCAGGUAGGAAUACCCGCUGAACUU
Molecule: ribosomal RNA, 441 nt
Filed under: Fusarium tricinctum
Lineage: Eukaryota; Fungi; Ascomycota; Sordariomycetes; Hypocreales; Nectriaceae
Description: eukaryotic LSU rRNA
Rfam family: 5.8S ribosomal RNA (bases 84-237)
Source: RNAcentral